RNAcentral lists this ribosomal RNA (300 nucleotides) under uncultured Lactobacillus sp. RNAcentral's name for it is "partial 16S ribosomal RNA". The stretch from base 52 to 300 matches the Rfam family "Bacterial small subunit ribosomal RNA", at positions 547 to 795 of the family's 1533-position model. The record is from RNAcentral. Lineage: Bacteria; Bacillati; Bacillota; Bacilli; Lactobacillales; Lactobacillaceae.
GGUAAGUAGGGUGGAGGGGCGGGGGGGAUACGUGGGGUGCGAGCGUGAUCCGGAAUUAGUGGGCGUAAAGCGCGCGCAGGCGGUUUCUGAAGUCUGAUGUGAAAGCCCACGGCUCAACCGGGGAGGGUCAUUGGAAACUGGGAAACUUGAGUGCAGAAGAGGAAAGCGGAAUUCCACGUGUAGCGGUGAAAUGCGUAGAGAUGUGGAGGAACACCAGUGGCGAAGGCGGCUUUCUGGUCUGUAACUGACGCUGAGGCGCGAAAGCGUGGGGAGCAAACAGGAUUAGAUACCCUGGUAGUC